GGAUCCAGACUUGAUUCUGGCUCAGGAUGAACGCUAGCUACAGGCUUAACACAUGCAAGUCGAGGGGAAACGACAUCGAAAGCUUGCUUUUGAUGGGCGUCGACCGGCGCACGGGUGAGUAACGCGUAUCCAACCUGCCCACCACUUGGGGAUAACCUUGCGAAAGUAAGACUAAUACCCAAUGAUAUCUCUAGAAGACAUCUGAAGGAGAUUAAAGAUUUAUCGGUGAUGGAUGGGGAUGCGUCUGAUUAGCUUGUUGGCGGGGUAACGGCCCACCAAGGCGACGAUCAGUAGGGGUUCUGAGAGGAAGGUCCCCCACAUUGGAACUGAGACACGGUCCAAACUCCUACGGGAGGCAGCAGUGAGGAAUAUUGGUCAAUGGACGAGAGUCUGAACCAGCCAAGUAGCGUGCAGGAUGACGGCCCUAUGGGUUGUAAACUGCUUUUAUAAGGGAAUAAAGUGAGUCUCGUGAGACUUUUUGCAUGUACCUUAUGAAUAAGGACCGGCUAAUUCCGUGCCAGCAGCCGCGGUAAUACGGAAGGUCCGGGCGUUAUCCGGAUUUAUUGGGUUUAAAGGGAGCGUAGGCCGGAGAUUAAGCGUGUUGUGAAAUGUAGACGCUCAACGUCUGCACUGCAGCGCGAACUGGUUUCCUUGAGUACGCACAAAGUGGGCGGAAUUCGUGGUGUAGCGGUGAAAUGCUUAGAUAUCACGAAGAACUCCGAUUGCGAAGGCAGCUCACUGGAGCGCAACUGACGCUGAAGCUCGAAAGUGCGGGUAUCGAACAGGAUUAGAUACCCUGGUAGUCCGCACGGUAAACGAUGGAUGCCCGCUGUUGGUCUGAAUAGGUCAGCGGCCAAGCGAAAGCAUUAAGCAUCCCACCUGGGGAGUACGCCGGCAA
RNAcentral lists this ribosomal RNA (898 nucleotides) under uncultured Bacteroidota bacterium. Its description in RNAcentral is "bacterial SSU rRNA". It matches the Rfam family "Bacterial small subunit ribosomal RNA", at positions 1 to 891 of the family's 1533-position model. The record is from RNAcentral. Lineage: Bacteria; Pseudomonadati; Bacteroidota.